UAAAUUCUCUCCUUGAGAUUUCAACAUAAGAAUUUUGAAGGGUUUCAAACAUUCAUUCCCUAACAUUCUGCCCUUGACCUUUCAAAAAUCGUAUUCUUACAUGCAAAAUACAUAUCCAUUCCAACAGUCCCAUUAAGUUUUAACUCAUUUUCAACAUCAUCUCUGAAGUCUGAAGUUCAAAGUCUCUGUAAAUAUCUAAAUCAGGUAUAAGUGAGACUGGGGUAUGAUUUAUUCAGGGGCAGAAUUCUUCUCCAGCUAUGAACCUAUAAAACCAAACAAGUUAUGUGCUCCCAGAAUACAGUGGUGGGAGAGGCAAAGGAUAUUCCCAUUCCAAAAGGGAGUAAUUGGAAAAAAGAAAGGAGUUAUCAUUUCUAAGUAAGUGCAAAAACUAAUGUGACAAACUCCAUUAACCUUUAAGACUUGAGAGUAAUCCUCUUUGCCUUUCAAGAUCCACUGGGGUGGCAGUGUGACCUCAGCCUUGAUAUCUGAAUUGCCCUGUCAGUGGUGGGAAGAGAAGGGUGGUCUUAUUUUUUUUCCCUGUCUUGAAGAAAAGCACCUGGCUUCGGUUGAGAUGUCUGUUUAGGGCUGUGGUUCAUAUGUGUAUUAAUCUCCUCAUUAAAUGGUCACUUGACUGCACCUUUAGUAUUCUCUUCCAAGAAUGCUUUCUCAUUUUGUAAUAUAGAUAAGGCAGAGAAUUUCUCAAAUCUUUAAGUUCUGGUUCCUUUUUGCUUAACUCCAUUUUCAAAUUAUUUUUCUUUUCUUAUGUUUUACCAUCAGCAGUCAGAAGGAACCAAGCCACUCCUUCAAUCUUCGCAUAGGGAUCUUCUCAACUAAAUAUCCAGUUUCAUUGCUUACAAGUUGCCACUUCUGCAGAACACUAGAACGUGAACUCAAGUCAGUCAAAUUCUUUGUUAUUUUAUAAUAAGGAUCACCUUUUUUUUCCAGUUUCCAAUAACAAGUUCUUCAGUUCCAUCUGAGACCUUAUUAUGAUGGUCUUUGUAGUCCAUAUUUUUAUCAACAUUAUGCUCAGGAUUACUUAAGUAUUCUUUAAGAAGACUGAGGUUUUUCUCUCCAGGUCUCUUCUUUCUGAACCCUCAUCAUAACUACUCUUAAUGCUCAUAUUUCUAGUGUGUACCUCUAAACUCUUCUAGCCACUACCAGGUAACUAGUUGCAAAGUCACUUCCACUUUUUUAGGUAUUUUUUAUGGCAGCAUCCCACUCUCAGUACCAAAAUCUGUAACAGUCAAGGUUCUCCAGAGAAACAGAGCCUCUGGAGGCUGAAAGGUCCCACUAUCUGCUGUCUGCAAGCUGGAAACCCAGGAAAGCCAGUAGAGUAAUCCAAUCCAGUCUGAGUCUUUUUUUUUUUUUAAUUAUGCCUAUGGAAUACGGAAGUUACUGGGCCGGGGAUCAAAUCUGCACCACAGUAGCGACCCAAGCUGCUGUAGUAACAACACUGGGUCCUCAACCCACUGUGCCACUAGAGAACUCCCAGUCUGAGUCUAAAGUCCUGAGAACCAGAAGAGGUAUUGGUAUAAAUCUUACUUCUAGGGCAGAAGAAGAUGAGAUGUCUUAGCUCAAACAGUGAAUUAGGAAAAAAGGAGCAAAUUCUUCCUUUUUCUACCUUUUGUUCCAUUUAGGUCCUCAACAGAUUAGAUGAUGCCUGUCCACAGUGGUGAAGGCAAUCCAGGGAGUCCAUCGAUUCAAAUGCUAAUCUCUUCUAGAAACACUCUCAUAUAUACACCCAGAAAUAAUGUUUAAUGUGGGUACCACAUUGCCAGUCAAGUUUAUACAUAAAAUUAACCAUUGCACAUAUAAACAUAAAAAAAUCACUGAAAUAAAACUUCAGAAGAUGAAUUUAAGGCAAGUCACAAUGGAGAUCUACCUGAAUUAGUGGAUUGGACAAACCAAGAGGAAGAAAUAUCUAAAAACUGAGAACAAAUACAUAUAGAAAAAUAAAUUAUAACAAAGACAUUCAGUUAAAUAUUCAUUUUUUUCAUUUUUUAAUUAAAAAAUUUUAUUAUAUGUGAUUUACAAUGUUCUGUCAGUUUUCUGCACAGCAAAGUGACUCAGUUAUACAUUUAUAUACAUUCUUCAUUUUCACUUUAUCCUCCAUUGCAUUCCAUCACAAGUGAUUAGAUGUAGUUCCCUGUGCUAUACAGCAGUAUCUCAUUGCUUAUCAUUCCAAAUGCAAUAGUUUGCAUCUACUAACCACAAACUCCCAGUCCCUCCUAUUCAGUCCUCUGGCUCUUCCUUGGCAACCACAAGUCUGUUCUCCAUGUCCAUGAGUUUGUUUCCUUUCUAUAGAUAGGUUCAUUUGUGCCGUAUACUAGAUUUCAGAUGUAAGGGAUAUCAUAUGGUAUUUGUCUUUCUCUUUCUGACUUCACUAAGUGUGAGAGUCUCUAUUUCCAUCCAUGUUGCUGCAAAUGGCAUUGUUUUGUUCUUUUUUUUGGCUGAGUGGUAUUUCAUUGUGUAUAUGUACCACACCUUCUUAAUCCCUUCAUCUGUCGAUGAAUAUUUGGGUUGUUUUCAUGUCCUGGCUAUUGUGAAUAGUGCUGCAGUGCACAUGGGGUGCAUCAUAUAUCUUCUUUCUUUUUGCUUUUUGUCUUUUUAGGGCUGCACCUGCGGCAUAUGGAGGUUCCCAGGCUGGGGGUUGAAUUGGAGCUGCAGCUGCUGGCCUCUGCCACAGCCACAGCAAUGCCAGAUUCAAGCCACGUCUGCAACUUAACACCACAGCUCAUGGUAACGCUGGAUCGUUAACCCACUGAGGGAGGCCAGGGAUCGAACCUCCAUCCUCAUGGAUGCUAGUUAAAUUUGUUUCCACUGAGUCAUGAUGGGAACUCUGCAUGUAUCUUUUUCAAUGAAAGUUUUGUCUGGAUAUAUGCCCAGGAGUGGGAUUGCUGGGUUAUAUGGUAGUUCUGUAUUUAGUUUUCUGAGGCACCUCCAUACUGUUUUCCAUAGUGGUUGUACCAAUAUACAUUCCCACCAACAGCGUAGGAGGGUUCCCUUUUCCCCACACCCUCUCCAGCAUUUGUUAUUUGUAGACUUAUUAAUAUGGCCAUUCUGAUCACUGUGAGGUGGUGCCUCAUUGUAGUUUUGAUUUGCAUUUCUCUGAUAAUUAGUGAUGUUAAGCAUUUUUUCAUGUGCCUGUUGGCCAUCUGUAUGCCUUCCUUCUGGAGGAAUGUCUAUUAAGGUCUUCCUAUUUUUCAACUGAGUUUUUUGUUUUUUAUGCUGUUGAGUUGUAUGAGCUGUUUGUAUAUUUUGGAGAUUAUGCCUUGUCGGUUACAUCAUUUGCAACUAUUUUAUCCCAUUCCAUAACUUGUCCUUUUUUUUUUUUUUAAUUUCCUUUGCUGGGCAAAAGCUUCUAAGUUUGAUUAGGUCCCAUUGGUUUAUUUUUGUUUUUAUUUCUAUUGCUUUGGGAAACUGACCUAAGAAAACGUUUGUACAGUUGAUGUCAGAGAAUGUUUUGCCUAUGUUCUCUUCUAUGUGCUCUGUUCUUUUAUGGUGUUUUGUCUUGUGUUUAAGUCCUUAAACCAUUUUGAGUUUAUUUUUGUGUAUGGUGUGAGGGUAUAUUCUAACUUCAUUGAUUUACAUACGGCUGUCUCAGCACCACUUGCUGGAGAGACUGUCCUUUUCCCAUUUUAUAUUCCUGCCUCCCUUUUCAAAGGUUAAUUGACCAUAGGUGUUGGGUUUAUUUGUUUCAUUUUCCGCAUACCGUUUCUAUGGACAUUGUUGGAACUUGUGCGUCAUCAAAAUAAUGAUGCACAAGAAAGAAGAAAACAAAAUUAAGGGAACAAGAUAGAACACAAAAGAGAGGCAGAGGAAUUUACUGAGUAUUGGUGAAGAGACACACCAAAUGAUAGCUGUGCAGCAGGCCUGAAAAUUAAUCAGUCUAGAUUUGAACAGAUCAGAAGGCUCAAGGAAAGACUUCUUCAAGAAGGUGAAGUUAAUAAAAUACCUAAUGGAUUCAAGUGUGUUGAGAAGAGAUUUACACAAGCUCUGGAGAAUAUGGUAGAAAAAUUAAAGUUAAAAACAGAAAAGUAAAAAUGGGAAAAAAGAUAAUUCUUGACUAGGAAAAAUAAUCAUAGUAGAUAUGAUUCAGCUAUCAUAGUGUUUUACAUGGUCAGUAUAGGCAAUGGAUAUUAAUCUUAUGGACCUUGUAAUAUGAUCCUGUGCUAUUGCUACAACAGGCCUUGAGAAGGGUUGUCUAGGGAGACAGCAUGGAGGAGAAAGACUUAGGAAAAAAAUGGAUAUGGAUCUAUCAUAACAUUAUAAGAUUUUGGAAGAAUAAGGCAGCCUAAAUAUGUGUGUGUGUGUGUGUGUGUGUGUGUGUGUGUGUGUGGCAAGAAUGGUGGUUAUAUAUAAAAGAUAAGUUUUCAUCUUUUGUAAUAAAUAUUAUCACUAGGUAGUAAUUGCUUAUAACUGAAAGUCAGUAAGAAUAUAAAACUGUAAGAAUAUUAUUUAGAAAUUGGGGGUAAAUACCAAAAGCCAUCAGGAAGAGUUGAUAGCCAUUGCCUUCAAGGGUGAGAAAUUUGAAAUGUAUAGGGCCUAAUAUUUUUCAGAAUGAGUCUUAGAAAGUUUUAAAACUUUGCUAAAAACACCUCUUCCCAAGUCUAAAU
Molecule: long non-coding RNA, 4616 nt
Filed under: Sus scrofa (pig)
Lineage: Eukaryota; Metazoa; Chordata; Mammalia; Artiodactyla; Suidae
Description: lncRNA (ENSSSCG00030017469.1)
Source: RNAcentral